CAUGGGGGGAGCAAGCGUUGUUCGGAAUCACUGGGCGUAAAGGGCGUGUAGGCGGUCAAGUAAGUGGUAUGUGAAACGCCUCGGCUUACCCGAGGACCUGCAUCCCAAACUGCUUGGCUUGAGUAUGGGAGAGGAUGAGGGAAUUCCUGGUGUAGCGGUGAAAUGCGUAGAUAUCUGGAGGAACACCGGUGGCGAAGGCGGCAUCCUGGACCGGCAUUGACGCUGAGGCGCGAAAGCCAGGGGAGCAAACGGG
RNAcentral lists this ribosomal RNA (253 nucleotides) under uncultured bacterium. RNAcentral's name for it is "partial 16S ribosomal RNA". It matches the Rfam family "Bacterial small subunit ribosomal RNA", at positions 524 to 776 of the family's 1533-position model. The record is from RNAcentral.